Molecule: RNA transcript, 1767 nt
Organism: Kogia breviceps (pygmy sperm whale)
Lineage: Eukaryota; Metazoa; Chordata; Mammalia; Artiodactyla; Physeteridae
Gene: YRDC
Gene name: yrdC N6-threonylcarbamoyltransferase domain containing
Source: RefSeq, a predicted model, not a curated record
AUGUCUCCAGCGCGUCCGUGCACGGGGCUGAGGGCCGCGGUGGCUGCCAGUAUGGGGUUGAGCGAGGGGCCGGCGGGCUCUGCCCGGAGCGGGCGCCUUCUCCGUCCGCCGAGCCCCGCUCCGGCGGCGCCGGGGGCCCGGCUGUUCCGGCUCCCGGGGAGCGGGGCCGUGCGGGCCGCAAACCCGGAGCGCGCCGGCUGGACCGAGGCGCUGCGGGCCGCCGUGGCCGAGCUGCGCGCCGGCGCCGUGGUGGCCGUCCCCACCGAUACGCUGUACGGCCUGGCCUGCUCGGCGAGCUGCUCGGAGGCACUGGGCGUCGUGUACCGCGUCAAGGGCCGCAGCGAGACCAAGCCGCUGGCUGUGUGCCUGGGCCGCGUGGCCGACGUCUACAGGUACUGCCGUGUGAGAGUACCUGAGGGGCUCCUGAACGACCUGCUGCCAGGACCAGUGACCCUGGUGAUGGAACGCUCGGAGGAGCUCAACAAGGACCUGAACCCCUUCACUCCUCUUGUAGGCAUCCGGAUUCCUGACCACGCCUUCAUGCAGGACUUGGCCCAGGUGUUUGGGGGACCUCUUGCUCUCACCAGUGCCAACCUCAGCUCCCAGGCCAGCUCUCUGAAUGUUGAGGUGCCUUGUGUGCGGUAUGACAUCAUUGCAGAUGCCAGAGGUGGUGUCCAUGCUCUUCCUCUCCCUCUUCUCAGGAAUUUCAGGACCUCUGGCCUCGCUUGUCCUUGGUCAUUGAUGGGGGACCAAUUGGGGAUGGCCAGAGCCCUGAGUGUCGACUAGGCUCAACUGUGGUUGACUUGUCUGUGCCUGGAGAGUUUGGCAUCAUUCGUCCGGGUUGUGCCCUAGAAAGUACUUCGGCCAUCCUGCAGAAGUAUGGGCUGCUCCCCUUACGUGGAUCCUGCUUGUGAAACUCCGGAGGAGGGAGGGCCUAAGGACUGGUGCUGGACACUAUGUGUCUGACUGCUGGUGGCUGGCAAGGCCUCAUUGGCAGAGGCCGCUGGGGCUACAAUGUUACUAGUCUGACCUUUUAAGACAAAGUUUCUUUCUGAACACUAUAGACCAGGCCUCAGAAGCUGCUAGUUAAGCCUCACACCUUGUUGGGGAGGUUAUAUUUAUUUAUAAUUUCAUAUAUGAGCCAAAAGCUGAAUAGAGGUUUUAAGAGCAUUUUAAGGAUGGCCUUGUUCUGAUAAGUUUUUUUUUUUUGAUCUUUGAAAAAUAAAUAACAGAUUUGGAAUCUAGUGAGAGCUUCUUCUCUGGUGGGUAGUGGCACUUAAGGUCCAAAUCAGCUAACACAUUGGUUGGUGCUUUUCAAAAGUCUCAAGUGACCAAAUGCAUGAGUUUUGUGCUUCUGAAGCUGGAACCAGUUUAGUAUAAAAAUUAAAACUAUAGAGCGAUCGACCAAACACUGCUUCCUCUGAACCAGGGGGCUGGUUCUUUGCUGUAAUUGCCUGGUGGAGAAUCAUCAUUUUGGUCUAAUGGUGGGAAGUAAGCUCAACUGGCACAGGGGUGGGGGGGAGUCCAAAUUAAGGAAUAUUGGAAAAUAAAUCUCUACUGUCCUGUCCAGCCACUUUUUUAUUUAUUCAUAAUGUAAAUUAUAAUGAAUUAUACCUGCAACACCUUUAUUUAAAUCCAGUGUCUACUUAGCAGCCUUUAUCUUUAUUCAUGUGUAUACAGGUGUUAAAAACAUACUUACUGUUGGGCAUUUGAACUUUGUUUUUUCUUUAAUAGAAAAAAAUGCUGUUAAACAUCUUUGUAAAUGUU